ACGAACGCUGGCGGCGUGCUUAACACAUGCAAGUCGAACGAUGAAGCCUAGCUUGCUGGGUGGAUUAGUGGCGAACGGGUGAGUAACACGUGAGUAACCUGCCCCUUACUCUGGGAUAAGCGCUGGAAACGGUGUCUAAUACUGGAUAUGACCUUGAAUCGCAUGGUUUUUGGUGGAAAGAUUUUAUCGGUUUGGGAUGGACUCGCGGCCUAUCAGCUUGAUGGUGAGGUAGUGGCUCACCAUGGCGACGACGGGUAGCCGGCCUGAGAGGGUGACCGGCCACACUGGGACUGAGACACGGCCCAGACUCCUACGGGAGGCAGCAGUGGGGAAUAUUGCACAAUGGGCGCAAGCCUGAUGCAGCAACGCCGCGUGAGGGAUGACGGCCUUCGGGUUGUAAACCUCUUUUAGUAGGGAAGAAGCGUAAGU
Molecule: ribosomal RNA, 429 nt
Filed under: uncultured bacterium
Lineage: Bacteria
Description: bacterial SSU rRNA
Rfam family: Bacterial small subunit ribosomal RNA
Source: RNAcentral